Molecule: long non-coding RNA, 974 nt
Organism: Chiloscyllium plagiosum (whitespotted bambooshark)
Lineage: Eukaryota; Metazoa; Chordata; Chondrichthyes; Orectolobiformes; Hemiscylliidae
Source: RefSeq, a predicted model, not a curated record
ACAACAUUUUUCCAGUCCAUCAAGGAAGGGAAUAAUGCUGAAUCUAGUUCUGAGGACUGUGUUUGAACAAAUACAUGUUUGAUUUGGAUAUCAAUUGCGGAACAGUGAUGGUAACAUUAUAAGAUUAAUGGCAGUUAUGCAAAUAGACAAGAAAGAAAAAGCCAGAAAUGCUCAACAUUAGGAGAACAAAGAUUCAAUGAUUUUACUAUUCCAGUGCAAUCCAGCUGAUCCUCCAAUAUUCUACCUUCUGAAGAUCUCAGACAGUGGUCUUAUGCCACUGCGCCUUAGCAGCAGCUGCCCCGGACUUUAGUGUGUCCCUUAGCACACAGUCCUGGAUCUUGGAAUGUGGCAAUCUGCAACACUCAGGCAGAGUCAAGUCCUUGUUCUGGAAGACCAACAAGUUUUGGGCAGAACAAAGAGCGUCUUUCAUUGAGUUGAUGGUUGUCCAGGCAUAGUUGAUGUUUAUCUCAGUGUGCGUCCCAGGGAACAGACAGUAGAGGACAGAGUCCUGCAUCAUGGAGCUGCUCGAAACAACCCUCAACACAAAUGCUGCAUCUUCCUCCAGACUUCCUUUGCAGAAGGACAUUCCAGAAGGAGAUGCACCCUCUUCUUUUCCCAUAGAGUCUCAGAUGCUAUGUGUUGACCACUUCCUGAUGUGGUCAAAAGUGCUUUUCUUUGCAAAUUUCUCUUUGAAGAACAGGUGAUAUGGUCCAAUAAUUUGGAGCAUUUUGCAGCAUCAAGGCCAGUCUCAUCCUUCACAGCACCAGGGACAGGUAGAACCUCAGUACACAGUGACACUUGGUGUGUGCAUACCGAGGAUCUACACACAGCUUGAUGCAGCCUCACACAAAGGUGGCCAUCAGAAUAAGAGCAAUGUUGGGUAUGUUUUUCCUUCCAGUUUCCAGAGUUUUGUACAUGGAGUCCCUGAAGAUUCCUGAAGAAGGGCUUAUGCCCGAAACGUCGAUUCUCCUGUU